Transfer RNA from Gregarina niphandrodes, 73 nucleotides. It matches the Rfam family "tRNA". From Rfam's summary of the family: Transfer RNA (tRNA) molecules are approximately 80 nucleotides in length. Their secondary structure includes four short double-helical elements and three loops (D, anti-codon, and T loops). NCBI's taxonomy places the organism in Eukaryota, Apicomplexa, Conoidasida, Eugregarinorida, Gregarinidae. The record is from Rfam.
GGCCAUGUGGCCCAAUGGAUAGGGCAUCGGUCUUCGGAACCGGGGGUUGCGGGUUCGAGUCCCGUCGUGGCUU